UCCUGGUUGGCCCAGGCAGUCUCGCAUGAAAAAUACAACAUACGAUAAGGGUUGCGCUCGUUGCGGGACUUAACCCAACAUCUCACGACACGAGCUUUCGACGGCCAUGCAGCACCUGUCACCUGGUUCCCGAGGGCACCCCCGCAUCUCUGCGGGGUUCCAGGGAUGUCAAGCCUCGGUAAGGUUCUACGCGUAGCGUCAUAUUAAACCACAUCCUCCUCCGCUUGUGCGGGUCCCCGUCAAUUCCUUUGAGUUUUAACCUUGCGGUCGUACUUCCCAGGCGGCAUACUUAUCGCGUUAGCUGCGACGCACAGGGGGUCGAUACCCCAUACGUCUAGUAUGCAUCGUUUACGGCGUGGACUAC
RNAcentral lists this unclassified non-coding RNA (364 nucleotides) under uncultured bacterium. RNAcentral's name for it is "contains 16S-23S intergenic spacer region". The record is from RNAcentral.